AGUGAACGCUGGCGGUAGGCCUAACACAUGCAAGUCGAACGGCAGCACAGUAAGAGCUUGCUCUUACGGGUGGCGAGUGGCGGACGGGUGAGGAAUACAUCGGAAUCUACUUUUUCGUGGGGGAUAACGUAGGGAAACUUACGCUAAUACCGCAUACGACCUACGGGUGAAAGCAGGGGAUCUUCUGACCUUGCGCGAUUGAAUGAGCCGAUGUCGGAUUAGCUAGUUGGCGGGGUAAAGGCCCACCAAGGCGACGAUCCGUAGCUGGUCUGAGAGGCUGAUCAGCCACACUGGAACUGAGACACGGUCCAGACUCCUUCGGGAGGCAGCAGUGGGGAAUAUUGGACAAUGGGCGCAAGCCUGAUCCAGCCAUACCGCGUGGGUGAAGAAGGCCUUCGGGUUGUAAAGCCCUUUUGUUGGGAAAGAAAAGCAGCAGGUUAAUACCCCGCUGUUCUGACGGUACCCAAAGAAUAAGCACCGGCUAACUCCGUG
This 492-nucleotide ribosomal RNA is filed under the name uncultured bacterium. RNAcentral's name for it is "partial 16S ribosomal RNA". It matches the Rfam family "Bacterial small subunit ribosomal RNA", at positions 29 to 507 of the family's 1533-position model. The record is from RNAcentral.